This 222-nucleotide ribosomal RNA is filed under the name uncultured bacterium. RNAcentral describes it as "partial 16S ribosomal RNA". It matches the Rfam family "Bacterial small subunit ribosomal RNA", at positions 109 to 334 of the family's 1533-position model. The record is from RNAcentral.
AGUAAUGUAUGGGGAUCUGCCCGAUAGAGGGGGAUAACUACUGGAAACGGUGGCUAAUACCGCAUAAUGUCUACGGACCAAAGCAGGGGCUCUUCGGACCUUGCACUAUCGGAUGAACCCAUAUGGGAUUAGCUAGUAGGUGGGGUAAUGGCUCACCUAGGCGACGAUCCCUAGCUGGUCUGAGAGGAUGACCAGCCACACUGGAACUGAGACACGGUCCAG